AGCAGCGUGGCUUAGUGGCAAGAGCACGGGGAUGGGGGUCAGAGGACCUGGGUUCGAAUCCCGGAUCUGCUA
RNAcentral lists this transfer RNA (72 nucleotides) under Ornithorhynchus anatinus (platypus). It matches the Rfam family "tRNA". From Rfam's summary of the family: Transfer RNA (tRNA) molecules are approximately 80 nucleotides in length. Their secondary structure includes four short double-helical elements and three loops (D, anti-codon, and T loops). The record is from Rfam by way of RNAcentral. Lineage: Eukaryota; Metazoa; Chordata; Mammalia; Monotremata; Ornithorhynchidae.